GAACCAAGUCCUUGACGGAUGAAACAAGACGCAAAAUGGUGAACAUGCUGGCAGCUGACAUGACAGAAAUGAAUGGGAGCAUUAUUAUGAUGGCGAGAGUGGAACUGGGUACUUGGCCUGGAGGAUUAAAACUAUUCAGAGAGGCACCGCCAAAGACAGGCGAUCAUCAUUCGGAGAAUCAGCCAAAGGAUCAACUGGUGAAGACAUGUCUGGAGGACCGACUGUCAGACGAGAAUCCCAGUUUGUUCCAGAGACUGCCCUGACUGAUGAUGAGUGCAACAAAGCAAUCUCACUGAUGAAACAUUCUGCUGAUGCAGACACAAUCAAGAAGAAAAUGGAACUGACGUUUGUGUAUCGCCGCAAAAUGAUCCUCGACCCCCAGCAGUCAAGCAACAUACUGUCUGAGUUUCCACGUUUUAAAGACGUCAAAAGCUUGGUUGAACAGGAUUUUGUUCUAAUGUUCGGAGAGGAUACCUCAAGCAAGCUUCUGGAAAGGUGGCG
Long non-coding RNA from Coregonus clupeaformis (lake whitefish), 501 nucleotides. RefSeq lists it as uncharacterized. The record is from RefSeq and is a predicted model, not a curated record. NCBI's taxonomy places the organism in Eukaryota, Metazoa, Chordata, Actinopteri, Salmoniformes, Salmonidae. The transcript has 4 exons.